AGAAAAUGAAAAAUAUUAAAAAGAAUUUAGAACCGGUAAUGACCGGUUAUACAUAAAAUUUACCCUAACCCAUUCAUUCUGGUAAAAAAACUGUCUUUCUUCUCUCGUCUUCUUCACUGCCUAACUCCCCCGGUUUCUCCUUCGCCUUCCGUCGCCACCUGUUUCCCACACUCCGAUGCCGAUAAAACUCCGGCGUGACUAAGAAUUUGAACAGCCCCAGAAAUCUUCAUUUGUUCUCCUCUCUUCACAGCCAAACCUCCCCUGUUUCGAAUUGGCCUUCCGUCACCGCCUAUUAUCCCGCACUCCAACGACGUUCGACUCUCCGAUGCGACCAGAAAUUUUAACAUCCCUUCGCAUUUUAUUCUCUUUGUUUCUUCGACGCCAACCCCCCCCCCCGGCUUCGGGUUCACCUUCCGUCGCCACCUAUUAUCCCGCUCCGGCCCUGUUCCACACUCCGUUCUGGUGCAAAACUCCAACAUAUCUUAAGUUGUAAUGGCAAGUGGAAAGUCGAAGAAAGUGCAGAAACCAGUAUCAUCAUAUUUACAUUAUGCGGAAGUUACAUUAUUUGUUAUCAUUAUGAAAUAGUGCAAGUGCCCAAGAAGGAAAUGUCAGGAGAAAAGUAAGGAGAAACAGAAAUUGCACGUACAUGAACGUCGAAAGUUGGCCAGAGUGGUCAAAACUUUUGGAUUCAGAGAAGAAGCCUUUCAAACAAAAGAUGACCACAGAGAAAGUAGAAUACGAAAAAAAAAGAGUUAGAAUGUGAAGAACAAGGUGGAAAGAAUAAGGUAUAAUAUAGGUUCUAGUUAUACAUGAGCAGUAUGCAAACAAAGUUAGUUUUCCAUAUUCUACUUUCUCUAGUGUAGGUCUUGUUUACACGGUAUAGUCAUAUGUACUUUACGAAAUAAUAUAAUUAUAUAAUCCAAAAUACUUGCAUACAUACAUAUGUAUUGCAUACUUACAUAAAAAUAGUUGGUUAAAAUCAAAUAUUAAUCCUAAGAUUUAGGAUUUAAAUAUUCAUACCUAAUCGUGUAUUCUUCUUCCCACCUAAAUUGGUUGUCCAGUGUUGAAAUUCCACCAAAUUGAUGAAUGAAAAUUUUGGUUUUCCCUUAUUUUUGUAGCUGAGAAGAGGAACUACGAAUAUAUUUUGAAUGAGUAGUUGAAGGUAGUUUUUAAGAUUCAAUUCCGUUGAUAUAUGUAAUUGUUGCUUUCCCUUAGAAGUUUUGGUAUAUACCAAAAUGUCUUAGGAUGAACUCUUUGGUAUGCUCUUAGAAAUUUUUGUGUAUCAUUAGAAAUUUUGGUAUACUUAUAUACGAAAAUUUUGAACUCGUUAGGAAUUUUGGCAUGGUCUUAGAAAUUAGAAAUAUUGGAAGAUACCAAAAUUCUAACAUUGUUUCCUUUGAAAUUUUGGUCCGGAGGUGCGUGGAAUUUUAAUAUAUUAAACAAAUUUUUUUUUUUUUUGGGGGGUGAACCAUCAAAAACAAAACACAACGUUUUGUUCUCAUACAAUAAUAACCAAUGUUUAGGGUUUCUUCACUAGCCACAAACAUUUUCAUCUCUUUCCCUUAAGCAGCUCCAACCUCUCCGACGAACUGUUGCCUACCAACUCCAUUAUCAGCUCCUUUCUCACCAUAUGCUCUACUAAUUACUUCAAUGCCGCUACCUAUUAUGCCACGCACUCCUUUUUGUUUUUUGCAGGACUCUUUCAAUUCUCAAAUGGUGAAUUGCGUUAUCUCGCCAAUCCAACCACAAGCUCCACCAAUUACUUUGACACCACCACCUAUUCUGCCACACUCUUUUUUUCGUAGUACUCUUUUGAUUCUCCAAUAAGUGAUUUCAAAUUUGUACUCUUCAAUUUUAGUUUCUUCCUUGAAAAUGAUUCAUAUGUAAUAAUUUUAGGGUAUUUCUUAGUAUAAAUUUUGUUGUUUUUCUUACUA
Molecule: long non-coding RNA, 1934 nt
Organism: Gossypium raimondii (Peruvian cotton)
Lineage: Eukaryota; Viridiplantae; Streptophyta; Magnoliopsida; Malvales; Malvaceae
Exons: 5
Source: RefSeq, a predicted model, not a curated record